Molecule: long non-coding RNA, 2308 nt
Organism: Anguilla rostrata (American eel)
Lineage: Eukaryota; Metazoa; Chordata; Actinopteri; Anguilliformes; Anguillidae
Exons: 2
Source: RefSeq, a predicted model, not a curated record
CCCCACCAGUCCAGCUUCAGACCUGGCCACUCGACAGAGACCGCACUCCUCUCGGUCAGUGAGUCGCUUCACGCCGCACAAGCAGCCUCCCGUUCAUCCGUCCUGAUCCUCCUAGACCUUUCUGCUGCCAUCGACACAGUCGACCACCCCAUCCUCCUGUCCUCCCUGGCAGCUAUGGGGAUCUGUGGCACAGCACUAGACUGGAUCGAGUCCUACCUCUCCGGUAGCUCCUUCCAAGUCGCCUGGGCCGGUGCAGUAUCGGCACCUCGCCCCCUUACCACAGGAGUUCCCCAGGGCUCAGUCCUUGGUCCCCUCCUGUUCUCCCUGUACACCCAAUCUCUUGGUCCUGUAAUCUCUGCCCAUAGUUUGUCUUAUCACUGUUAUGCCGAUGACACCCAACUCUUUCUCUCCUUCCCCCCCUCUGACACACAGGUCUCCGCUCGUAUCUCUGCUUGCCUGAGGGAUGUCCAGAGCUGGAUGGAUAACCACCAUCUUAAGCUGAACCCAGGGGACACCGUGGUGUCAUCAUCACCCACUGCCAAAAACCUUGGAGUGGUGAUGGACAACAGACUGUCCCUCUCCCAGAACAUCGCGGUGGUGAGUCGAACGUGCAGGUUUUUUCUGUACAACAUCCAGAGAAUCUGUCCCUUCCUCACCACCUACGCAACCCAGCUCCUGGUUCAAGCGAUGGUCCUGUCCCGCCUGGACUACUGCAACUCGCUGCUGGCUGGUCUGCCAGCAUCCGCCAUCAUCCAGAAUGCUGCAGCUCGUCUGGUCUACAACCUCCCUAGACAUGUCACCCCCCUGCUCACUGACCUCCACUGGCUGCCUGUUAUUGCUCGCAUCAAAUUUAAGACUUUGGUGCUUGUGUGGUAAACAAGCCUGCCACAGGCCACCGAAGUGGCUUUCCACGGGGCCCUCCAGCACAGAGACACAGGGAGAUGAUGUUCUAACAGUCCACAUUUAUUUUCAAGGGUGGCAAGAUGUUACAGCUAAGUGAGCAGAUGUUAAAACUGUCAUGACAGAGGCUCCUUGUGUGAGUGGGGAUGGCAGAUUUAACCUGUGCGCACUGAUUACCUCACUAAGCACAGGUGCAGCCACUCCUGUUCCCGGGUCCAAUUAGCCUGGCCAAUUAUCUAAUUCUUAACCAGUUAUCCAAUUGGCCAGGUCUCAUUAGCUUGACCCAGGGCAGGUGUGGCUGCUUAAACCAGCCAUCCCCACACCACAGCUUGCAUACCAGGCGGCUAAGGGGUCAGCACCAGGAUACAUCCAGAGGAUCAUCAGACCCUACACACCAGCCAGACCUCUCCGUUCUGCCACCUCUGGACGCUUGCCACCUCCCCCUCUUCGUGUCUGUACUUCCCGUUCGUGUCUGCUGUCUGUCCUGGCCCCUCGCUGGUGGAAUGACCUUCCCGUGGCGGUCAGAACAGCAGAGAAUCUGACUACCUUCAAGUGCAGACUAAAGACUCAUCUCUUCAGGCUGCACCUCUCCCCACCCCUCCCUAGCCUCUAGUUUAGCUCAAUGUACCUAGUUAGGCUAAUGCGAUCUCGUUUGUUUUGUAUUUGGCAGGAUUGUUUUGUUUGAUUCUGAUUAGGCAAAUAUGAUUUCGGUGCUAGUUUUGUACUUGGCAGGAUUGUUUAGUUUAUUUGCUGAACAGGUUACCCUACAGGGUUGGAGUCCUGAUCUAUGUGGUCACUUCUCGCACUACGAUCUUUACUUCACUCUAGUGUGUUUUUCUGCACCUCUGCACUUUGAACUGAUGCACUUGUUGUUCGUCACUCUGGAUAAGAGCGUCUGCUAAAUGCCUGUAAUGUAAUGUAAUGUAAAAAACUAACAUCAUUCAACUUGUCAGUACAUUUUGAAAUGAAAUUGACAGCCUUAUCUACUAUAAUUUUUUAUAUUUCCUUGUUAAAUGACCUGUUACAGUGAGCCCAAUUUUCGUUUUAUGCUCAGUUUUGGAAAGCACAAGUUAUGCCUUAGGGCACGGCAUACCCCAUACCUAUACAGCACCGAGAGUUCGCCACUUUUCAUUUUUGUAAGAUUCAAUAUUUAAUAGGCGACAAUAUUUCACUUUUUUCUGUAUGUAUUUAUUUUACAAUCAGUAUCUAUUUUAAGUUGCAAAUAUACAAGAAGUUGUACAUUUUGUAAAAUUAACUUGACAGCCAAGCAUAAACAUGUCCUUUACCAUUGUCUAAGCAUUCAUCAGUGGUUUCAUAAAUUCAUUUUAAAUGUCGUCUUCCAUGAGGCAUUAUUGUUAUUUGACAAUUUAAUGUCACACAAACUUUGAAUUACCAUAUUUUCUUCAGA